GCUCGCGUACCAUUAGCUAGUUGGUGAGGUAAAGGCUCACCAGGGCGACGAUGGUUAGCUGGUCUGAGAGGAUGAUCAGCCACACCGGAACUGGAACACGGUCCGGACUCCUACGGUAGGCAGCAGUGAGGAAUUUUGCGCAAUGGGGGAAACCCUGACGCAUCAACGCCGCGUGAGUGAUGAAGGCUUUCGGGUCGUACAGCUCUGUCAGGUGGGAAGAACCCACCAAGUGUUAAGACCACUUGGUGCUGACGGUACCACCGAACGAAGCACCGGCUAACUCCGUGCCAUCAGCCGCGGUAAUACGGGGGGUGCGAGCGUUAUUCGGAAUCAUUGGGCGUAUAGGGCGCGUAUGCGGUUUUGUCCGUCAGAUGUGAUAUCCCGGGGCUUAAUCCCGGAAGUGCAUAUGAGACUAUGAGACUUGAGUAUGGGAGAGGGAAGCGGAAUUCCUGGUGUAUCGGUGACAUGCGUGGAUAUCAGGAGGAACACCGGUGGCGAAGGCGGCUUCCUGGACCAAUACUGACGCUGAGGCGCGAAGGCGUGGGGAGCGAACAGGAUUAGAUACCCUGGUAGUCCACGCAGUAGACGUUGAUCACUAGGUGUACCGGGUAUUGACCCCUGCUGUGCCGGAGUUAACGCAUUAAGUGAUCCGCCUGGGGAGUACGAUCGCAAGAUUAAAACUCAAAGGAAUCGACGGGGGCCCGCACAAGCGGUGGAGCAUGUGGU
This 726-nucleotide ribosomal RNA is filed under the name uncultured organism. Its description in RNAcentral is "bacterial SSU rRNA". It matches the Rfam family "Bacterial small subunit ribosomal RNA", at positions 229 to 945 of the family's 1533-position model. The record is from RNAcentral.